UGCUUCAGCAGUUAGCACUUAUAUUAAAACUGAACAAUACAGAGAAUAUAAGUAUGGCACCAGCCCAAGGAUAACACACAAUUUUGUCAAGCAUUCCAUAUUUAU
Pecten maximus is the source of this 105-nucleotide small nuclear RNA. The record is from RefSeq and is a predicted model, not a curated record. Lineage: Eukaryota; Metazoa; Mollusca; Bivalvia; Pectinida; Pectinidae.